This 114-nucleotide ribosomal RNA is filed under the name Cordylochernes scorpioides. Lineage: Eukaryota; Metazoa; Arthropoda; Arachnida; Pseudoscorpiones; Chernetidae. The record is from RNAcentral.
ACGUCAUACCACAUUGAAAACACCGGUUCUCGUCCGAUCACCGAAGUUAAGCAAUGUCGGGCCCGGUCAGUACUUGGGAGGGUGACCACCUGGGAACACCGGGUGCUGUAGGCU